AUCGCUUCUCGGCCUUUUGGCUAAGAUCAAGUGUAAUAACAUUCCACAACACAGAGGGACAGGUAAUAAGUUAGUGGAGGAAUUACAUUUCCAUGUAAUGAUACAAGAAAUGUUUAUAAUUUAUCUCCUGAAAUUUUGGCUCGCCAUAUGUUGCAGAAGCAGCUAUGGAUAUUUAUAUUUUGUUCUUAAAACUUUU
Molecule: non-coding RNA, 196 nt
Organism: Peromyscus maniculatus bairdii (prairie deer mouse)
Lineage: Eukaryota; Metazoa; Chordata; Mammalia; Rodentia; Cricetidae
Source: RefSeq, a predicted model, not a curated record